This 467-nucleotide ribosomal RNA is filed under the name uncultured bacterium. RNAcentral describes it as "bacterial SSU rRNA". It matches the Rfam family "Bacterial small subunit ribosomal RNA", at positions 329 to 792 of the family's 1533-position model. The record is from RNAcentral.
UUCCAGACUCCUACGGGAGGCAGCAGUGAGGAAUAUUGGUCAAUGGGCUUACGCCUGAACCAGCCAAGUCGCGUGAGGGAAGACUGCCCUAUGGGUUGUAAACCUCUUUUGUCAGGGAGCAAUUGGCGCUACGUGUAGCGUUAUCGAGAGUACCUGAAGAAAAAGCAUCGGCUAACUCCGUGCCAGCAGCCGCGGUAAUACGGAGGAUGCGAGCGUUAUCCGGAUUUAUUGGGUUUAAAGGGUGCGUAGGCGGCGAUGCAAGUCAGAAGUGAAAGCCCGCGGCUCAACUGCGGGACUGCUUUUGAAACUGUAUAGCUUGAGUGCAGGAGAGGUAAGCGGAAUUCCUAGUGUAGCGGUGAAAUGCGUAGAUAUUAGGAGGAACACCAGUGGCGAAGGCGGCUUACUGGACUGUAACUGACGUUGAGGCUCGAAAGCGUGGGGAGCAAACAGGAUUAGAUACCCCCGUA